This 76-nucleotide transfer RNA is filed under the name Lachnospiraceae bacterium. RNAcentral's name for it is "tRNA-Met". It matches the Rfam family "tRNA". From Rfam's summary of the family: Transfer RNA (tRNA) molecules are approximately 80 nucleotides in length. Their secondary structure includes four short double-helical elements and three loops (D, anti-codon, and T loops). RNAcentral also lists the same sequence under 2 other names. The record is from RNAcentral. Lineage: Bacteria; Bacillati; Bacillota; Clostridia; Lachnospirales; Lachnospiraceae.
CGCGGAGUAGAGCAGUGGUAGCUCGUCAGGCCCAUAACCUGGAGGUCGUAGUGUUCAAAUCCUACCUCCGCAACCA